Molecule: ribosomal RNA, 378 nt
Filed under: uncultured bacterium
Lineage: Bacteria
Description: bacterial SSU rRNA
Rfam family: Bacterial small subunit ribosomal RNA
Source: RNAcentral
AUUGAACGCUGGCGGCAUGCCUUACACAUGCAAGUCGAACGGCAGCGCGGGCUUCGGCCUGGCGGCGAGUGGCGAACGGGUGAGUAACAUAUCGGAACGUGCCCUGGAGUGGGGAUAACUAGUCGAAAGAUUAGCUAAUACCGCAUACGAUCUACGGAGGAAAGUGGGGGACCGCAAGGCCUCACGCUCGUGGAGCGGCCGAUAUCUGAUUAGCUAGUUGGGGGUAAAGCCUACCAAGCCACGAUCAGUAGCUGGUCUGAGAGGACGACCAGCCACACUGGGACUGAGACACGGCCCAGACUCCUACGGGAGGCAGCAGUGGGGAAUUUGGACAAUGGGCGCAAGCCUGAUCCAGCAAUGCCGCGUGAGUGAAGAAGG